This 885-nucleotide non-coding RNA is filed under the name Drosophila simulans. RNAcentral describes it as "Eukaryotic large subunit ribosomal RNA". It matches the Rfam family "Eukaryotic large subunit ribosomal RNA", at positions 1 to 758 of the family's 3401-position model. Lineage: Eukaryota; Metazoa; Arthropoda; Insecta; Diptera; Drosophilidae. The record is from Rfam by way of RNAcentral.
CAACCUCACUCAUAUGGACUACCCCCCGGAUUAAGCAUAUUAAUAGGGAGGAAAAGAAACUAACAAGGAUUUUCUUAGUAGCGGCGAGCGAAAAGAAAACAGUUCAGCACUAAGUCACUUUGUCUAUAUGGCAAAUGUGAGAUGCAGUGUAUGGAGCGUCAAUAUUCUAGUAUGAGAAAUUAAUGAUUUAAGUCCUUCUUAAAUGAGGCCAUUUACCCAUAGAGGGUGCCAGGCCCGUAUAACGUUAAUGAUUACUAGAUGAUGUUUCCAAAGAGUCGUGUUGCUUGAUAGUGCAGCACUAAGUGGGUGGUAAACUCCAUCUAAAACUAAAUAUAACCAUGAGACCGAUAGUAAACAAGUACCGUGAGGGAAAGUUGAAAAGAACUCUGAAUAGAGAGUUAAACAGUACGUGAAACUGCUUAGAGGUUAAGCCCGAUGAACCUGAAUAUCCGUUAUGGAAAAUUCAUCAUUAAAAUUGUAAUAUUUAAAUAAUAUUAUUAAGAAUAAUGUGCAUUUUUUCCAUAUAAGGACAUUGUAAUCUAUUAGCAUAUCCCAAAUUUAUCAUAAAAUAUAACUUAUAGUUUAUUCCAAUUAAAUUGCUUGCAUUUUAACACAGAAUAAAUGUUAUUAAUUUGAUAAAGUGCUGAUAGAUUUAUAUUAUUACAGAGCGUUAAUUUUUCGGAAUUAUAUAAUGGCAUAAUUAUCAUUGAUUUUUGUGUUUAUUAUAUGCUCUUGUAUGAUUAACAAUGCGAAAGAUUCAGGAUACCUUCGGGACCCGUCUUGAAACACGGACCAAGGAGUCUAACAUAUGUGCAAGUUAUUGGGAUGGUCAACCUAAUAGCGUAAUUAACUUGACGUAAUAAUGGGAUUAGUUGUGGGAUCCCC